UGCAGUCGAACGGCAGCACAGGAGAGCUUGCUCUCUGGGUGGCGAGUGGCGGACGGGUGAGGAAUACAUCGGAAUCUACUUUUUCGUGGGGGAUAACGUAGGGAAACUUACGCUAAUACCGCAUACGACCUACGGGUGAAAGCAGGGGAUCUUCGGACCUUGCGCGAUUGAAUGAGCCGAUGUCGGAUUAGCUAGUUGGCGGGGUAAAGGCCCACCAAGGCGACGAUCCGUAGCUGGUCUGAGAGGAUGAUCAGCCACACUGGAACUGAGACACGGUCCAGACUCCUACGGGAGGCAGCAGUGGGGAAUAUUGGACAAUGGGCGCAAGCCUGAUCCAGCCAUACCGCGUGGGUGAAGAAGGCCUUCGGGUUGUAAAGCCCUUUUGUUGGGAAAGAAAUCCAGCUGGCUAAUACCCGGUUGGGAUGACGGUACCCAAAGAAUAAGCACCGGCUAACUUCGUGCCAGCAGCCGCGGUAAUACGAAGGGUGCAAGCGUUACUCGGAAUUACUGGGCGUAAAGCGUGCGUAGGUGGUCGUUUAAGUCCGUUGUGAAAGCCCUGGGCUCAACCUGGGAACUGCAGUGGAUACUGGGCGACUAGAGUGUGGUAGAGGGUAGCGGAAUUCCUGGUGUAGCAGUGAAAUGCGUAGAGAUCAGGAGGAACAUCCAUGGCGAAGGCAGCUACCUGGACCGACACUG
RNAcentral lists this ribosomal RNA (696 nucleotides) under Stenotrophomonas maltophilia. RNAcentral's name for it is "bacterial SSU rRNA". It matches the Rfam family "Bacterial small subunit ribosomal RNA", at positions 56 to 742 of the family's 1533-position model. Lineage: Bacteria; Pseudomonadati; Pseudomonadota; Gammaproteobacteria; Lysobacterales; Lysobacteraceae. The record is from RNAcentral.